UGUGGUGUAUCUAAUUUUAAAAAUUCAUUGCUAACUAAAGUUUGUAUAGGAACUUUAGUAAUAGUUGUAUUUGGAGUAGAACUGAUUUUCAUUGAUGUGAAUGUGGAAAUAUUUGUCUGGGCAUGUGGGAUUUGUGUGGUAGUUGGGGUUAUUUUAUUUUCUGCAGUGGGAAGUGUAUUGUCACUAGGAUGGUAGGGUAUACUAAUUGAAGUAGCACUAGGUAAUAGAGUCAGGAAAUUUGAUGAGAUUGUUGUCAUAUUGUUGGUACUAUUACUAGUAUUAUUUCUUUCUAUUGGUAAAUGAGAUUGGAUGGAUGGUGUUGGCUGUUGAGAGUUGCGUAUGUUAGUAAGGAUAUUUUGUUCCACAUGAAACGUGAAAGCUUGGGAAUUCACCGAUUAGAUUAUCCCUGUGGUGGACGUGG
Molecule: long non-coding RNA, 421 nt
Filed under: Capsicum annuum
Lineage: Eukaryota; Viridiplantae; Streptophyta; Magnoliopsida; Solanales; Solanaceae
Description: long non-coding RNA (CANN_LNC001703)
Source: RNAcentral